GCACACGUUGAGUAUAACACGAUACAUCACAAGCUGUCAUUGACGUACAUGAUAAGCGUAUAAAAAUAGUUAAAAUCAUACAGGCAAGAAAAGUGGUUGUCACGAUGAAAAACAACAGGGAUUGGUUCGUUGGAUUUACUGGUCAAGCGAUACCCAGCAGGAACCUGCACUAUUACAAGAUGGACGUGUCUUGUUCUGGAAAGGAACAGUCGAUCAACGAAUGCAAGGGUGACCUUCAAUACUGCGUGACACAAAGAUACUAUCAUUGCACGACGAUGUCUAACAUGAAUAGACAUGUGGCUCUGUUUUGCUAAGAUUACGAAUUGCAAGACUUAAGCCUCGAUCCGGACGGCAUUCUUCUGAUGACUGUAAACUUAAAAAAAUGGGCCGUGUGUGCGGACCAUUUUACACAACAAACAGCGAACGCAGCAUGCAGAAUUUUGGGAUACACAGGUCACACUUCAUUCUCUACCCACACAGCUGGCGCAAAUGACACAGAGGUGUUAGGGUCGCUGAUUUGCCGGGAAAAUGCCGCAAGACUCGUGGACUGUCAUCUGAAGCACCAGUUCAGUUACCGGCCAUACCGCGUUGACGCCGCGUGUACAAAUCACGUGAAACUGGCGUGUACAAGCUUAUUUAAAUAGUUUAAUUAGCGCAAUAGACACACAGCCACUUCUUUUUUUAAACAUAAUGGCACAUGAAACAGGUCUUUUUUAUCAACUAAACCUUUGUGUAUAAUUUAAAACUUUGCCUCACGCAACGCAUAUAGCUAGCUGUUUCUCUUCCAAUGAAUAACAACUGUUAUUUUAAUAUGCAUGUAUAUAUAUGAAAGUGGUUAAAAUAUGUGGUCUUAAAUGUCGGCGCUAUUUUAUAAGCAUUUUCAAUCAAUGCCAUGUUUCGAUUGCAA
Dreissena polymorpha is the source of this 907-nucleotide long non-coding RNA. RefSeq lists it as uncharacterized. NCBI's taxonomy places the organism in Eukaryota, Metazoa, Mollusca, Bivalvia, Myida, Dreissenidae. The record is from RefSeq and is a predicted model, not a curated record. The transcript is spliced from 4 exons.